Molecule: long non-coding RNA, 218 nt
Filed under: Elaeis guineensis (African oil palm)
Lineage: Eukaryota; Viridiplantae; Streptophyta; Magnoliopsida; Arecales; Arecaceae
Description: long non-coding RNA (EGUI_LNC013812)
Source: RNAcentral
GGUUGAUCUUCCAUCCAUUUUAGUUAAUAAAUAAAAGAAAAAAUAAAAAGGGUGAUAUGGCAGUAGAUCAAGGAAAAAUUUUGCACCCCAAAUCUAGGCUCUUGUGCUAAAGAGGCCCGGUUCUAUUUGUCGAAGGCUCCAUUGAGUUUCUUAGACAGGAUCAGGCCCAAAUUUAGCUCAUUUUUUAUGUAGUUCUCAUUAAACCUAAACAUAAUACG